UACGUAGGGUGCAAGCGUUAAUCGGAAUUACUGGGCGUAAAGAGUGCGUAGGCGGCUAUGUAAGACAGAUGUGAAAUCCCUGGGCUUAACCUAGGAACUGCAUUUGUGACUGCAUGGCUAGAGUGUGGUAGAGGGAGAUGGAAUUCCGCGUGUAGCAGUGAAAUGCGUAGAUAUGCGGAGGAACACCGAUGGCGAAGGCAAUCCCCUGGACCUGUACUGACGCUCAUGCACGAAAGCGUGGGGAGCAAACAGG
This 253-nucleotide ribosomal RNA is filed under the name uncultured bacterium. RNAcentral describes it as "partial 16S ribosomal RNA". It matches the Rfam family "Bacterial small subunit ribosomal RNA", at positions 524 to 776 of the family's 1533-position model. The record is from RNAcentral.